Molecule: long non-coding RNA, 3897 nt
Organism: Triticum aestivum (bread wheat)
Lineage: Eukaryota; Viridiplantae; Streptophyta; Magnoliopsida; Poales; Poaceae
Exons: 3
Source: RefSeq, a predicted model, not a curated record
GACCUUCAUCGGUUGCUAAAAAAAGAAGCCCUCCUCCCGUAUCCCUAACCUUGUGACGCAUACCAUCGCGCCGCCACUUCCCAUGGAUCGAGCCGCUGCUUCCAAUGGAUUGUGCCGCCGCUCUGCUCACCACCGUAGUCGUCACAGCCUAUCCCAGCAGUCGUCGCUGCCCACCGCAUCCAGCCGCUGUCGCAUCUCACCGCCUCCACCGCCCCCAUGAAUCACCGCAUCCUCUCUCUUGGACCAGCAUGCUGCGGUGGAUGCUUCCGGUCCCAUUGUGGCGACAUGGCUGGUCAAGGGAACGCGGUGAGGCAGAUUGUGUCCCGUUCAUUGAUCUGCCCCACUUGCUGCUGCUCCUCUCCCAUCGACCGUCACGUCAACAUUUACCGCGACACACGACGUUCUCCUCUUCUGCGAUGAUGCUUAUAAGCGACAAUAAUGGUGUCCUGUUGUGGCCCAACACUCAUCGGACCGCCGAAGCACGGAAGUGCGCGGAGAAGAUCGCUCUCUACUUAGCAAAUUCCACCGUGUUCUGAAUGGCUGCCCGACAAGACGCUCUGUCGGAUGUUCAUCAUCAGCGCCAGUCAUGGGUUCGGGCUACUGUGGAACUCAUGGCAUCAACCAUAUGAACCUGCAUGUAUUUGAUAGUUUGCUCGAUCAGUUUUAUGCCUUCCACUACAGCUAAGGCUACUACGCAACUUCAUUGAGAUUUUUUCUAUAGGACUUGGAUUAAUAAUCCCCAAGAAUACGAUCACGCUUCUUAUAAAUUUCAGGUAUAAAUACAUUUGUGAUUUUCUGUAUGUUGUACUACUAAACUGUGUGCUAUACCACGCAUGGCAUCUGCGCCUUUUCAGAUAUGCAUGCAUUUUUCAAGAGAAUUUAUCUAAGAUGUAGUAUAUAGAAAGGUACCUAAAAUGUUAGCUUAUAUUGCCAACUCUUGAAAAUAUACGGGCCUUUUACUUUUUUUGCCCUGAACCAUGGGAUUUCAUGAAUAAUACCCAAUGCAUUGCUUACUGUUGUCCAGUGUACUACAGUUUAGUAUGAAAAACUUGACCUUUGUUUGACAAGAAAAUGUCUGCUAACUCCCAAAUGGACUGACUUUCGAGAACCAAUUUAGGUUGUGAUCAUUAGUGCGUCUUCAAAGCUGCUUCACAUAACAUAACAUUUGAUUUUUACUAAUCUGAAAUCAAGCCUAAGCAAUGUUAAGUAGACCUUUGAAUUCUUAAUAAGGAAAUUACAGAAUCUGUUCUGUGUGCUGUAGGAUUAGUGUUGUUUGAAGAUGUUUUUCUUCUUACCAAUCAGGUUGAUGAUUUUGACUGUCGAUGCAGACGUUGUGCCGGAUGUUCAUCAUCGGUGGCAGUCAUGGGUUCAGGCUCCUGUGGAACUCAUGGCAUCGACCAUAUGAACCUUCAUGUAUUUGAUAGUUUGCUCGAUCAGUUUUAUGCCUUCCACUACAGCUAAGGCUACUACGCAGCUUCAUUGAGAUUUUUUCUAUAGGAUUUGGAUUAAUAAUCUCCAAUAAUAUGGUCAUGCUUCUUAUAAUUACUUUCAUGUAUAAAUACAUUUGUGAUUUUUUGUAUGUUGUACUACUAAACUGUGUGCUAUACCAAGCCUAAGCAAUGUUAAGUAGACCGUUGAAUUCUUAAUAAGGAAAUUACACAAUCUGUUUUGUGUGCUGUAGGAUUAGUGUUGUUUGAAGAUGUUUUUCUUCUUACCAAUCAGGUUGAUGAUUUUUACUGUCGAUGCAGACGCUGUGCCGGAUGUUCAUCAUCAGUGGCAGUCAUGGGUUCAGGCUCCUGUGGAACUCAUGGCAUCGACCAUAUGAACCUUCAUGUAUUUGAUAGUUUGCUCGAUCAGUUUUAUGCCUUCCACUACAGCUAAGGCUACUAUGCAGCUUCAUUGAAUUUUUUUCUAUAGGAUUUGGAUUAAUAAUCUCCAAUAAUAUCGUCAUGCUUCUUAUAAAUACUUUCAGGUAUAAAUACAUUUGUGAUUUUCUGUAUGUUGUACUACUAAACUGUGUGCUAUACCAUGCGCCUUUUCAGAUAUGCAUGGAUUUUUCAAGAGAAUUUAUCUAAUAUGUAGUAUAUAGCUAGAAAGGUACCUAAAUGUAUAUUGCCAACUAUUGAAAAUAUACGGACCUUUUACUUUUUUUGCCGUGAACCUAGGCAGCUUGGGACGGAGUAGGUGUCAAUAGUAAGUAUAUACCAGAACAUUUUUUUAAUGAUUGCUAGAACAAUAUUUCUGCGAUAUUGUAUAUACUAACAUAGUGACUGUGGAGUACUAAUUCAAAGUAUAUACUAUUGUACUGUAUUUUGUCUAAAUACCAUCUAUAUCAGAGUAGUACAUAGACUGCUCUUUGUGCACGGCAGUAUGUAGCAUACAAAAUUAAAUCAAAUGGGUAUAUAACAUACACUUUGAUAAAGUAAGUAUAUACUUUUUUUCUGGUGCAGUAUAUACAACAUUUUCGUAAGGCAAUAUAUAGUACUUUUUAAGUGAACCAGUAUACUACUUUUUUUAUUCAGUAUAUACAUAAUCUUUUAGUCGAUAUAUACUAAUGUUCUUGAUAUAUAAGGCAACCUGCAAAUUCCAUGCCGCCAUUGUGGACCAGUGCAUGCCAUGCCAACAUUGUUUCUUAUUACCACCGUUGUUGACAAUAUUGGUGGUGCCGUCACAUGGAUCAAUCAGUGCACCCCACGCUGUUGCUUUGUCGACGAGAUGGUAGUGCCGUCUUAUCCAUCGAUCAGUGCACCUACUUAUUAACGUCGCAACGGCUAUGUGACUAGCUGCUUCAGUGGCUUUGCACCUCGAUCCAGAUUACUUUCAUGCAAAGCCUGUCAUGUUUGCCUUAUGUGCAGGAAUAGGCAAGCACAACAGAAGACCUGAUCAUAGACACUCAUAGUCUGAGGUAAAUACUCCUUCAAUGCAAGCUGUCAAAUAGUUUUCUUUUAUCUUGAAAACUAUAAAUUUAUUUAAAAAAUUGUGGUAACAAAUUUAUUAAGUUAUUACGUGGGAAAGACCAUCAACUAAUAAUAAUAUAUAAAACAAGGGUAGGCUAGGAAAAAGAUACAUCAUUCUUAGAAAAUUGUACUAACAAAGUUGUUAAGUUAUUACGUGGGAGAGACUCAACUAAUAAUAUAAAAACAAGGGUAGGCGGUAUUAUCGGAAAGAUUGGACGCUACUUCUUCCUCCAGGCCCGAAAGAGAUCACGCUUCUCCACCAUCUCUUCCUCUCCUGGUUUAUCUUGAAUACACAAUAACUUUGGAUUUGAGAUCACUUUGUUUUGUACCAUGUGCUUGGAUAGUGUUGUGCUUUCCAGGGAUGCAAUCCCGGCUCUUCUCACUAGAACCUAUGGAUACCUCAUGGAGAUUUGUUGGAGCAUAAUCUUCUAAUGUACAACCUAUGUAUACAUAUGGACAUCGGAGGGAGCAUAAUUAUGAUCAUCAAGCGAGCUUAUAAAAACCUGCUGUCUGAACAGACUACAGCGGCAUGAAGGAGGCUAAUGUCAGUUGUCAACGUCGUCACUGGUCAAGUUACUAAUCAAUUUUUGUAUCGACAAAACAUGUCCAGGGCCCUCCAUGGGAGAGUUAAAAUCUUCAAUGGCCUUCCCAAUCUCCAGUUACGGCUGAUGUUGUUGCUUGAUAUGCUGGUCCGCCACAAUCUCGUGUUCAUGGAAGUUCCUUGCCAAGCUGCCAUGUCCUGGCCGUUGAGAAUUGACUUCUCAUGAAUUUUCUUCUAACCUUUUUUUCAGUCAGCAGAUAGUGCAGAUAGUUAGGCGGUGAAACACUUGACAAUGAAGAUGUUUGUCAACUACUAAAACAUGGAUGGUUUCUGUUAUACUGUAUAUCUGAAUAAACAAUUUUGCGGGCAAUUUUUUUGCAUAAGUAAAGGCAUGUGAGA